GGGGCAACGGUAUUGCCUCAGUAGCGGCGAGUGAAGCGGCAAGAGCUCAGAUUUGAAAUCGUGCUUUGCGGCACGAGUUGUAGAUUGCAGGUUGGAGUCUGUGUGGAAGGCGGUGUCCAAGUCCCUUGGAACAGGGCGCCCAGGAGGGUGAGAGCCCCGUGGGAUGCCGGCGGAAGCAGUGAGGCCCUUCUGACGAGUCGAGUUGUUUGGGAAU
Molecule: ribosomal RNA, 214 nt
Filed under: Pichia kudriavzevii
Lineage: Eukaryota; Fungi; Ascomycota; Pichiomycetes; Pichiales; Pichiaceae
Description: partial 26S ribosomal RNA
Rfam family: Eukaryotic large subunit ribosomal RNA
Source: RNAcentral